UACGUAGGGUGCAAGCGUUGUCCGGAUUUAUUGGGUUUAAAGGGUGCGUAGGCGGCUAUUUAAGUCAGUGGUGAAAUCCUGCAGCUUAACUGUAGAAUUGCCAUUGAUACUGGAUAGCUUGAGUACAGACGAGGUAGGCGGAAUUUAUGGUGUAGCGGUGAAAUGCAUAGAUACCAUAAAGAACUCCUAUUGCGAAGGCAGCUUACUAGGCUGUAACUGACGCUGAGGCACGAAAGCGUGGGGAUCAAACAGG
This 253-nucleotide ribosomal RNA is filed under the name uncultured bacterium. Its description in RNAcentral is "partial 16S ribosomal RNA". It matches the Rfam family "Bacterial small subunit ribosomal RNA", at positions 524 to 776 of the family's 1533-position model. The record is from RNAcentral.